RNAcentral lists this ribosomal RNA (400 nucleotides) under uncultured bacterium. RNAcentral's name for it is "bacterial SSU rRNA". It matches the Rfam family "Bacterial small subunit ribosomal RNA", at positions 355 to 769 of the family's 1533-position model. The record is from RNAcentral.
UCGAGAAUCUUCCGCAAUGGACGAAAGUCUGACGGAGCGACGCCGCGUGAAGGAUGAAGUCCCUCGGGACGUAAACUUCUUUUAUGAGGGAGGAAAUUUUGACGUGUACCUCAUGAAUAAGGGGCUCCUAACUCUGUGCCAGCAGGAGCGGUAAUACAGAGGCCUCAAGCGUUAUCCGGAUUUAUUGGGCGUAAAGGGUGCGUAGGCGGUUAUGUUAGUCUUUUGUCAAAUCUCCCGGCUCAACCGGGAACUCGCAAAGGAAACGGCAUAACUCGAGGAUGUGAGAGGUGUACGGAACUCACGGUGUAGGGGUGAAAUCCGUUGAUAUCGUGGGGAACACCAAAAGCGAAGGCAGUACACUGGCACAUUCCUGACGCUGAAGCACGAAAGCGUGGGUAGC